GACAGAGGGUGCAAACGUUGUUCGGAAUUACUGGGCGUAAAGCGUGUGUAGGCGGCCACGCAAGUCAGGUGUGAAAGCCCCGGGCUCAACCCGGGAAGUGCACUUGAAACUGCAUGGCUCGAGUAUCGGAGAGGUUGGUGGAAUUCUCGGUGUAGAGGUGAAAUUCGUAGAUAUGCGGAGGAACACCGAUGGCGAAGGCAGCCCCCUGGGCUAACACUGACGCUCAGGCACGAAAGCGUGGGGAGCAAACAGG
This 253-nucleotide ribosomal RNA is filed under the name uncultured bacterium. Its description in RNAcentral is "partial 16S ribosomal RNA". It matches the Rfam family "Bacterial small subunit ribosomal RNA", at positions 524 to 776 of the family's 1533-position model. The record is from RNAcentral.